CCUACGGGAGGCAGCAGUGGGGAAUAUUGCGCAAUGGGCGAAAGCCUGACGCAGCGACGCCGCGUGAGGGAUGAAGGUCUUCGGAUCGUAAACCUCUGUCAGCAGGGAAGAAAGGUCACUGUGCUAAUCAGCAGUGAAUUGACGGUACCUGCAAAGGAAGCACCGGCUAACUCCGUGCCAGCAGCCGCGGUAAUACGGAGGGUGCGAGCGUUAAUCGGAAUUACUGGGCGUAAAGCGCUCGUAGGCGGUAUGUCAAGUCAAGGGUGAAAUCCCCGCGCUCAACGUGGGAACUGCCUUUGAAACUGGCAAACUGGAGUGUGUGAGAGGAUAGUGGAAUUCCAGGUGUAGGAGUGAAAUGCGUAGAUAUCUGGAGGAACAUCAGUGGCGAAGGCGACUAUCUGGCACAUAACUGACGCUGAGGAGCGAAAGCGUGGGUAGCAAACAGGAUUAGAUACCCUGGUAGUC
This 465-nucleotide ribosomal RNA is filed under the name uncultured bacterium. RNAcentral's name for it is "partial 16S ribosomal RNA". It matches the Rfam family "Bacterial small subunit ribosomal RNA", at positions 338 to 795 of the family's 1533-position model. The record is from RNAcentral.